Molecule: ribosomal RNA, 253 nt
Filed under: uncultured bacterium
Lineage: Bacteria
Description: partial 16S ribosomal RNA
Rfam family: Bacterial small subunit ribosomal RNA
Source: RNAcentral
UACAGAGGUCUCAAGCGUUGUUCGGAUUCAUUGGGCGUAAAGGGUGCGUAGGCGGCGCGGUAAGUCGGGUGUGAAAGCCCUCAGCUCAACUGAGGAAGUGCGCCCGAAACUGCAGAGCUUGAGUACCGGAGAGGAUGGCGGAAUUCCCCAAGUAGAGGUGAAAUUCGUAGAUAUGAGGAGGAACACCGGUGGCGAAGGCGGCCAUCUGGACGGAUACUGACGCUGAGACGCGAAAGCGUGGGGAGCAAACAGG